This 1284-nucleotide ribosomal RNA is filed under the name Priestia aryabhattai. Its description in RNAcentral is "bacterial SSU rRNA". It matches the Rfam family "Bacterial small subunit ribosomal RNA", at positions 18 to 1273 of the family's 1533-position model. The record is from RNAcentral. Lineage: Bacteria; Bacillati; Bacillota; Bacilli; Caryophanales; Bacillaceae. RNAcentral also lists the same sequence under 1 other name.
UUCUGCUCAGGAUGAACGCUGGCGGCGUGCCUAAUACAUGCAAGUCGAGCGAACUGAUUAGAAGCUUGCUUCUAUGACGUUAGCGGCGGACGGGUGAGUAACACGUGGGCAACCUGCCUGUAAGACUGGGAUAACUUCGGGAAACCGAAGCUAAUACCGGAUAGGAUCUUCUCCUUCAUGGGAGAUGAUUGAAAGAUGGUUUCGGCUAUCACUUACAGAUGGGCCCGCGGUGCAUUAGCUAGUUGGUGAGGUAACGGCUCACCAAGGCAACGAUGCAUAGCCGACCUGAGAGGGUGAUCGGCCACACUGGGACUGAGACACGGCCCAGAUUCCUACGGGAGGCACCAGUAGGGAAUCUUCCGCAAUGGACGAAAGUCUGACGGAGCAACGCCGCGUGAGUGAUGAAGGCUUUCGGGUCGUAAAACUCUGUUGUUAGGGAAGAACAAGUACGAGAGUAACUGCUCGUACCUUGACGGUACCUAACCAGAAAGCCACGGCUAACUACGUGCCAGCAGCCGCGGUAAUACGUAGGUGGCAAGCGUUAUCCGGAAUUAUUGCGAGCGUAAAGGGCUCGCGGAGCGGUUAUCUAUACAGUCUGAUGUGAAAGCCCACGGCUCAACCGUGGAGGGUCAUUGGAAACUGGGGAACUUGAGUGCAGAAGAGAAAAGCGGAAUUCCACGUGUAGCGGUGAAAUGCGUAGAGAUGUGGAGGAACACCAGUGAGCGAUAGCGCGGCUUUUUGGUCUGUAACUGAGGCUGAGGCGCGAAAGCGUGGGGAGCAAACAGGAUUAGAUACCCUGGUAGUCCACGCCGUAAACGAUGAGUGCUAAGUGUUAGAGGGUUUCCGCCCUUUAGUGCUGCAGCUAACGCAUUAAGCACUCCGCCUGGGGAGUACGGUCGCAAGACUGAAACUCAAAGGAAUUGACGGGGGCCCGCACAAGCGGUGGAGCAUGUGGUUUAAUUCGAAGCAACGCGAAGAACCUUACCAGGUCUUGACAUCCUCUGACAACUCUAGAGAUAGAGCGUUCCCCUUCGGGGGACAGAGUGACAGGUGGUGCAUGGUUGUCGUCAGCUCGUGUCGUGAGAUGUUGGGUUAAGUCCCGCAACGAGCGCAACCCUUGAUCUUAGUUGCCAGCAUUUAGUUGGGCACUCUAAGGUGACUGCCGGUGACAAACCGGAGGAAGGUGGGGAUGACGUCAAAUCAUCAUGCCCCUUAUGACCUGGGCUACACACGUGCUACAAUGGAUGGUACAAAGGGCUGCAAGACCGCGAGGUCAAGCCAAUC